ACUCCUACGGGAGGCUGCAGUGGGGAAUAUUGGACAAUGGGCGAAAGCCUGAUCCAGCAACGCCGCGUGAGGGAUGACGGCCUUCGGGUUGUAAACCUCUUUCAGCGGGGACGAAGCGAAAGUGACGGUACCCGCAGAAGAAGCACCGGCCAACUACGUGCCAGCAGCCGCGGUAAUACGUAGGGUGCAAGCGUUGUCCGGAAUUAUUGGGCGUAAAGGGCUCGUAGGCGGUUUGUCACGUCGGGAGUGAAGACUCAGGGCUCAACCCUGAGCGUGCUUUCGAUACGGGCAGACUAGAGGUAUUCAGGGGAGAACGGAAUUCCUGGUGUAGCGGUGGAAUGCGCAGAUAUCAGGAGGAACACCGGUGGCGAAGGCGGUUCUCUGGGAAUUACCUGACGCUGAGGAGCGAAAGCAUGGGGAGCGAACAGGAUUAGAUACCCUGGUAGUCCAUGCCGUAAACGUUGGGCGCUAGGUGUGGGACCCUUCCACGGGUUCCGUGCCGCAGCUAACGCAUUAAGCGCCCCGCCUGGGGAGUACA
This 538-nucleotide ribosomal RNA is filed under the name uncultured bacterium. RNAcentral describes it as "bacterial SSU rRNA". It matches the Rfam family "Bacterial small subunit ribosomal RNA", at positions 335 to 884 of the family's 1533-position model. The record is from RNAcentral.